GUUAAACCCCACUAAACCCGCUGGUUCCUGCUGACAGAUCACACGGGGGAAAAAGAGGGAGAACAAGAAAACAAGGAGUCAGGAAGGGGUUGGCACGUUUUCAUGACAAAUAGACCGAGUUAAUGUGCAGCGACAGCGAUGCAACAAAGCCACAUUAACAACCACCUGGGUCAGACAUGGACAACAGAAUCACACUAAAACUAAAAAUGAGCAGGUUAACGCGGUCAGUCAGGACGCACGCGAGCUGCUGCACUGACACCAACACGGCGCUAAAUCCUACGAGGAUCGACUCAGCUGCUUGCUUAUUCGCCACCUUCUUGGUCGGACUGGCCCGGUCCACCUUAACUGGUGAACGCGGCUGCUGCGGCGUUUAAGGUGGACCGGGGGAACCCGAACGAAUGAGAAAAGCGAGACAACUUCAGCCUCGACCUCGCACUUCUGGCGUUUCUCGGGCGUGAAAGCUGCACGUGCAAGUUUAUUUAAACCAAAGCCUCACUCCCCAGUACAGCCUAAAGUUGUGAAUUCCCGAUAUUCCCGAAGAAUUCCAAAGCAAACAGAAAGAGGCUAGAGGUUACCGUGUCGCCCUGUACGUCUUCGGGAUUCGGUGUAACGGCUCUGAGUGGAGGGAAAAGAAGGAAAAGUGCCGGGAUAAGUUCAGAAAGCCGUGUUUUCCCACCUGUGCGUGUCCUCUGUUGUUGCUCUCUCUCUCUCUCUCUUUCUGCUUCACGGCCGGAGCAAAACACAGGCGGAGCUCAUCUUAAAUCACCAAUACUUCACCUUUAUCCUCCCCGGAGCGCCGCUGUGAGGUCCUCGGCGGACGGCAGGGGCGUUUGAAGACGGCAGCGCGUCGCUGGCGCACACUAACGUGCUGAGGAGAGACGGAUGAAGGCGGAAGGAAGGAGAGAGGAUUUGUUUGGGUUCAUUUACCUGGAGAAGCCAACGGGAUAAAAACCGGCGGCGAAAGCGCGACAUCUGGCGGCCGCCGCGCGGCACUGCAGCCGAGCCCGGUUUAGGAUUACAGCCAACGGAACCAAGACGAGCAACACCUGCGGAGCCCGCUGUAUAACAAAAUAACGCGUGGCCACGACAUAGCAAGGCGUGGGGACGAGAUCGCUGCUGACUAAACCGUGGCCACGCAUUGGGAUCUCGUUCCCACGCCUUGUUUUUAAUUCAUACAGGACGUCACCAGCGGGGCUCCGUGUUUCUGUUGAUUAAUCGGCCACAAACGCCGUCACAGCGUUACGAUGUUGUAUGUAUUUCACUCAUUUAACUCGCGGGGAGCAGAAAUAAGACGGACGGACAGGCCGCAGAAACCAUUUCUGUGACGUUUACACGUUUGCAUAUGCAGGCCAAUCAGAACGGAGCUCAUUUACAUGUAUCGGUCUUAAAGGUACAGUAUAACAAAACGGUUUUUAAGG
Pygocentrus nattereri (red-bellied piranha) is the source of this 1418-nucleotide long non-coding RNA. NCBI's taxonomy places the organism in Eukaryota, Metazoa, Chordata, Actinopteri, Characiformes, Serrasalmidae. The record is from Ensembl.